This 74-nucleotide transfer RNA is filed under the name Candidatus Magasanikiibacteriota bacterium. RNAcentral describes it as "tRNA-Met". It matches the Rfam family "tRNA". From Rfam's summary of the family: Transfer RNA (tRNA) molecules are approximately 80 nucleotides in length. Their secondary structure includes four short double-helical elements and three loops (D, anti-codon, and T loops). The record is from RNAcentral. Lineage: Bacteria; Candidatus Magasanikiibacteriota.
GUCAGGGUAGCUCAGCUGGUUAGAGCACGGCAUUCAUAACGCCGAGGUCGAGGGUUCGACCCCCUCCCCUGACA